GAUGAACGCUGGCGGCGUGCCUAAUACAUGCAAGUCGAGCGAACGGACGAGAAGCUUGCUUCUCUGAUGUUAGCGGCGGACGGGUGAGUAACACGUGGAUAACCUACCUAUAAGACUGGGAUAACUUCGGGAAACCGGAGCUAAUACCGGAUAAUAUUUUGAACCGCAUGGUUCAAAAGUGAAAGACGUUCUUGCUGUCACUUAUAGAUGGAUCCGCGCUGCAUUAGCUAGUUGGUAAGGUAACGGCUUACCAAGGCAACGAUGCAUAGCCGACCUGAGAGGGUGAUCAGCCACACUGGAACUGAGACACGGUCCAGACUCCUACGGGAGGCAGCAGUAGGGAAUCUUCCGCAAUGGGCGAAAGCCUGACGGAGCAACGCCGCGUGAGUGAUGAAGGUCUUCGGAUCGUAAAACUCUGUUAUUAGGGAAGAACAUAUGUGUAAGUAACUGUGCACAUCUUGACGGUACCUAAUCAGAAAGCCACGGCUAACUACGUG
Molecule: ribosomal RNA, 497 nt
Filed under: uncultured bacterium
Lineage: Bacteria
Description: partial 16S ribosomal RNA
Rfam family: Bacterial small subunit ribosomal RNA
Source: RNAcentral